AGUGAACGCUGGCGGUAGGCCUAACACAUGCAAGUCGAACGGCAGCACAGUAAGAGCUUGCUCUUACGGGUGGCGAGUGGCGGACGGGUGAGGAAUACAUCGGAAUCUACUUUUUCGUGGGGGAUAACGUAGGGAAACUUACGCUAAUACCGCAUACGACCUACGGGUGAAAGCAGGGGAUCUUCGGACCUUGCGCGAUCGAAUGAGCCGAUGUCGGAUUAGCUAGUUGGCGGGGUAAAGGCCCACCAAGGCGACGAUCCGUAGCUGGUCUGAGAGGAUGAUCAGCCACACUGGAACUGAGACACGGUCCAGACUCCUACGGGAGGCAGCAGUGGGGAAUAUUGGACAAUGGGCGCAAGCCUGAUCCAGCCAUCCCGCGUGGGUGAAGAAGGCCUUCGGGUUGUAAAGCCCUUUUGUUGGGACAGAAAAGCAGCAGGUUAAUACCCCGCUGUUCUGACGGUACCCAAAGAAUAAGCACCGGCUAACUUCGUG
Molecule: ribosomal RNA, 492 nt
Filed under: uncultured bacterium
Lineage: Bacteria
Description: partial 16S ribosomal RNA
Rfam family: Bacterial small subunit ribosomal RNA
Source: RNAcentral